This 490-nucleotide ribosomal RNA is filed under the name uncultured bacterium. RNAcentral's name for it is "partial 16S ribosomal RNA". It matches the Rfam family "Bacterial small subunit ribosomal RNA", at positions 29 to 507 of the family's 1533-position model. The record is from RNAcentral.
AGUGAACGCUGGCGGCAGGCCUAAUACAUGCAAGUCGAACGGCAGCACAGUGGAGCUUGCUCCAUGGGUGGCGAGUGGCGGACGGGUGAGGAAUACAUGGGAAUCUGCCCAGUCGUGGGGGAUAACGUAGGGAAACUUACGCUAAUACCGCAUGCGCCCUUCGGGGGAAAGCCGGGGACCUUCGGGCCUGGCGCGAUUGGAUGAGCCCAUGUUCGAUUAGCUAGUUGGCGGGGUAAAGGCCCCCCAAGGCGACGAUCGAUAGCUGGUCUGAGAGGAUGAUCAGCCACACUGGGACUGAGACACGGCCCAGACUCCUACGGGAGGCAGCAGUAGGGAAUAUUGGACAAUGGGCGCAAGCCUGAUCCAGCCAUGCCGCGUGAGUGAAGAAGGCCCUCGGGUUGUAAAGCUCUUUUGUCCGGGAAGAAAAGCAUCGGGCUAAUACCUCGGUGUUCUGACGGUACCGGAAGAAUAAGCACCGGCUAACUUCGUG